RNAcentral lists this long non-coding RNA (405 nucleotides) under Bos taurus (domestic cattle). RNAcentral's name for it is "long non-coding RNA NONBTAT006376". Lineage: Eukaryota; Metazoa; Chordata; Mammalia; Artiodactyla; Bovidae. The record is from RNAcentral.
GGUGGGGGGAGCCCUGAUCCUUGAAACUUAAUAUUAAAUGUCAGUUAUCAAAUCUACACUAUUUCCCUCCCUUUUGGCUACUAAUAAAUAAGGACAAGAAGGAAUUAACUUUAACUUCUAAUGUUAUUUGCUUGAAUCCAGAGGAAAUGAAAUCUUCAGAUAUAGUUCAAUAUUUCUACAAAAAAUUCCACAAAUGACAGAAAUCAAGUAAGACAAAUACUCCUCUUUAUAAAUUUAGUAUAAACCUGCCGAGAAAUAAGGACUACAUAAUUAAGUCCACUGGAAAUGUGAUCAAUAUGUAUAUUAAAUACACUUUUACUCAAAAUUAUGAUGACUGAGAACAGAUCAGCUGCCUUGGGGUUACAGAUGAGGUGUGACUAGAAAGGAAUAGCUUGAGGGAGUCUU